ACGUAGGUGACUUGCCCCGAAGAUGGGGAUAACCUCUGGAAACGGGGGCUAAUACCCAAUGUGCUCGGUGAUUCGGUUGAUCGAGUAAAGCUCCGGCGCUUCGGGAGAGGCCUGCGGCCCAUCAGCUAGUUGGUAGGGUAACGGCCUACCAAGGCAGAGACGGGUAGGGGGCGUGAGAGCGCGGACCCCCACACUGGCACUGCGACACGGGCCAGACUCCUACGGGAGGCAGCAGUAAGGAAUAUUGCGCAAUGGACGAAAGUCAGACGCAGCGACGCCGCGUGGGCGAUGAAGGCCUUCGGGUUGUAAAGCCCUUUUAUGGGGGAAGAGAAAAAGGACGGUACCCCAUGAAUAAGUCCCGGCUAACUACGUGCCAGCAGCCGCGGUAAAACGUAGGGGACAAGCGUUAUCCGGAUUCACUGGGCGUAAAGAGCGUUGAGGCGGUUCCGUAAGUUGGGCGUGAAAGCUCCGGGCUUAACCCGGAGAUGUCGUUCAAUACUGCGGGGCUUGAGGACAGCAGAGGAAGGUGGAAUUCCCGAUGUAGUGGUGAAAUGCGUAGAUAUCGGGAGGAACACCCGUGGCGAAGGCGGCCUUCUGGGCUGUUCCUGACGCUGAAGGCGAAAGCUAGGGGAGCGAACGGGAUUAGAUACCCCGGUAGUCCUAGCUGUAAACGAUGGAUGCUGGGUGUGGGGGGUGUAAAUUCCCUCUGUGCCGAAGCAAACGCGUUAAGCAUCCCGCCUGGGGACUACGGCCGCAAGGCUAAAACUCAAACGAAUUGACGGGGGCCCGCACAAGCAGCGGAGCGUGUGGUUUAAUUCGAUGCUACACGAAGAACCUUACCUGGGUUUGACAUGCACGUGGUAGGGAACCGAAAGGGGACCGACCUUCGGGAGCGUGCACAGGUGCUGCAUGGCUGUCGUCAGCUCGUGCUGUGAGGUGUGGGGUUAAGUCCGGUAGAGAGCGCAGCCCUUGCCCUUAGUGGCAAGUGUCUUAGGGGACUGCCCGGGUCAAUUGGGAGGAAGGUGGGGAUGAUGUCAAGUCAGCAUGUCCUUUAUAUCCAGG
This 1062-nucleotide ribosomal RNA is filed under the name uncultured organism. Its description in RNAcentral is "bacterial SSU rRNA". It matches the Rfam family "Bacterial small subunit ribosomal RNA", at positions 115 to 1212 of the family's 1533-position model. The record is from RNAcentral.